RNAcentral lists this unclassified non-coding RNA (231 nucleotides) under Hevea brasiliensis (rubber tree). Lineage: Eukaryota; Viridiplantae; Streptophyta; Magnoliopsida; Malpighiales; Euphorbiaceae. The record is from RNAcentral.
GCCUAUGCAGUGAGUCUACUGGCCAAUAUAUGCAUGAUCUUCGAGAAACUCACUUAGAAGCUUCUUCCACAUUUUAAGAUAUCUGAAAUCUUCAUCUGGAAGAGGACUUCUAUUUUUAAAGCAUGAUAUCUCCAAAUAAAAGUCUCUACAUAUGAAGAUGGGGCUAGAUCUCUUGAUGAUAAGAGGUCAACAUCAGGUUAUUGCACCUUUAUUGGUGGUAAUCUAGUCACU